GGGAAUAACUUCGGGAAACUGAAGCUAAUACCGGAUGAUGACGUAAGUCCAAAGAUUUAUCGCCCAAGGAUGAGCCCGCGUAGGAUUAGCUAGUUGGUGAGGUAAAGGCUCACCAAGGCUACGAUCCUUAGCUGGUCUGAGAGGAUGAUCAGCCACACUGGGACUGAGACACGGCCCAG
This 179-nucleotide ribosomal RNA is filed under the name uncultured Sphingomonadales bacterium. RNAcentral's name for it is "partial 16S ribosomal RNA". It matches the Rfam family "Bacterial small subunit ribosomal RNA", at positions 139 to 334 of the family's 1533-position model. The record is from RNAcentral. Lineage: Bacteria; Pseudomonadati; Pseudomonadota; Alphaproteobacteria; Sphingomonadales.